ACCAAAGAAGAAAUGGGUACGCAACUACUAAACAAGAUAACAAGAGGGGAAAUGUUUUGAAAAUUAAGUAUUUAUUAGUAUCUUAUUAGAAGUGGGCAGAUAAUAUUGAGCUGCCAAUCAAGAUACUUUGAAGACUCUAAUAAAUCACUGGAGAAUACUUCGAACAACUACUGCUCCGUUUCAUGUCUUGAAUCAUAAACAAGCAAUUUGAUGUCUGCUAUGAUCAAUGAUUAUGCUGGAUUGAAGAGAAGAGAGUAUAAUGGAGAAGAAUGUUCCAGAAAGAUAUUCCCCAUUCUUCUGUAUUGUUUCAUUUGUAUUUAUUUGUGUUUAACCAUAUUUGUGUUUAACCUUCUCAUCAGAAUAUAAUACUAUUAGCA
This is a long non-coding RNA of Ahaetulla prasina, 377 nucleotides long. RefSeq lists it as uncharacterized. NCBI's taxonomy places the organism in Eukaryota, Metazoa, Chordata, Lepidosauria, Squamata, Colubridae. The transcript has 3 exons. The record is from RefSeq and is a predicted model, not a curated record.